RNAcentral lists this ribosomal RNA (1431 nucleotides) under uncultured organism. RNAcentral's name for it is "SSU rRNA". It matches the Rfam family "Bacterial small subunit ribosomal RNA". The record is from RNAcentral.
CUACAGGCUUAACACAUGCAAGUCGAGGGGCAGCAUGGUCUUAGCUUGCUAAGGCCGAUGGCGACCGGCGCACGGGUGAGUAACACGUAUCCAACCUGCCGUCUACUCUUGGACAGCCUUCUGAAAGGAAGAUUAAUACAAGAUGGCAUCAUGAGUCCGCAUGUUCACAUGAUUAAAGGUAUUCCGGUAGACGAUGGGGAUGCGUUCCAUUAGAUAGUAGGCGGGGUAACGGCCCACCUAGUCUUCGAUGGAUAGGGGUUCUGAGAGGAAUGUCCCCCACAUUGGAACUGAGACACGGUCCAAACUCCUACGGGAGGCAGCAGUGAGGAAUAUUGGUCAAUGGGCGCAGGCCUGAACCAGCCAAGUAGCGUGAAGGAUGACUGCCCUAUGGGUUGUAAACUUCUUUUAUAAAGGAAUAAAGUCGGGUAUGGAUACCCGUUUGCAUGUACUUUAUGAAUAAGGAUCGGCUAACUCCGUGCCAGCAGCCGCGGUAAUACGGAGGAUCCGAGCGUUAUCCGGAUUUAUUGGGUUUAAAGGGAGCGUAGAUGGAUGUUUAAGUCAGUUGUGAAAGUUUGCGGCUCAACCGUAAAAUUGCAGUUGAUACUGGAUAUCUUGAGUGCAGUUGAGGCAGGCGGAAUUCGUGGUGUAGCGGUGAAAUGCUUAGAUAUCACGAAGAACUCCGAUUGCGAAGGCAGCCUGCUAAGCUGCAACUGACACUGAGGCUCGAAAGUGUGGGUAUCAAACAGGAUUAGAUACCCUGGUAGUCCACACGGUAAACGAUGAAUACUCGCUGUUUGCGAUAUACGGCAAGCGGCCAAGCGAAAGCGUUAAGUAUUCCACCUGGGGAGUACGCCGGCAACGGUGAAACUCAAAGGAAUUGACGGGGGCCCGCACAAGCGGAGGAACAUGUGGUUUAAUUCGAUGAUACGCGAGGAACCUUACCCGGGCUUAAAUUGCAGAUGAAUUACGGUGAAAGCCGUAAGCCGCAAGGCAUCUGUGAAGGCGCUGCAUGGUUGUCGUCAGCUCGUGCCGUGAGGUGUCGGCUUAAGUGCCAUAACGAGCGCAACCCUUGUUGUCAGUUACUAACAGGUUCCGCUGAGGACUCUGACAAGACUGCCAUCGUAAGAUGUGAGGAAGGUGGGGAUGACGUCAAAUCAGCACGGCCCUUACGUCCGGGGCUACACACGUGUUACAAUGGGGGGUACAGAGGGCCGCUACCACGCGAGUGGAUGCCAAUCCCAAAAACCUCUCUCAGUUCGGACUGGAGUCUGCAACCCGACUCCACGAAGCUGGAUUCGCUAGUAAUCGCGCAUCAGCCACGGCGCGGUGAAUACGUUCCCGGGCCUUGUACACACCGCCCGUCAAGCCAUGGGAGCCGGGGGUACCUGAAGUGCGUAACCGCGAGGAGCGCCCUAGGGUAAAACUGGUGAC